This 509-nucleotide ribosomal RNA is filed under the name uncultured bacterium. Its description in RNAcentral is "partial 16S ribosomal RNA". It matches the Rfam family "Bacterial small subunit ribosomal RNA", at positions 28 to 506 of the family's 1533-position model. The record is from RNAcentral.
GACGAACGCUGGCGGCGUGCUUAACACAUGCAAGUCGAACGAAGAGCGACGGAAGCUUGCUUCUAUCAAUCUUAGUGGCGAACGGGUGAGUAACGCGUAAUCAACCUGCCCUUCAGAGGGGGACAACAGUUGGAAACGACUGCUAAUACCGCAUACGAUCUAACCUCGGCAUCGAGGAGAGAUGAAAGGUGGCCUCUACAUGUAAGCUAUCACUGAAGGAGGGGAUUGCGUCUGAUUAGCUAGUUGGAGGGGUAACGGCCCACCAAGGCGAUGAUCAGUAGCCGGUCUGAGAGGAUGAACGGCCACAUUGGGACUGAGACACGGCCCAGACUCCUACGGGAGGCAGCAGUGGGGAAUCUUCCGCAAUGGACGAAAGUCUGACGGAGCAACGCCGCGUGAGUGAUGACGGCCUUCGGGUUGUAAAGCUCUGUUAAUCGGGACGAAAGGCCUUCUUGCGAAUAGUGAGAAGGAUUGACGGUACCGGAAUAGAAAGCCACGGCUAACUACGU